AGAGUUUGAUUAUGGCUCAGGAUGAACGCUGGCGGCGUGCUUAACACAUGCAAGUCGAACGGAGUUAGAGAGCUUGCUCUUAAACUUAGUGGCGGACGGGUGAGUAACGCGUGGGUAACCUGCCUUCACUGGGGGAUAACAGUUAGAAAUGACUGCUAAUACCGCAUAAGCGCACGGGAUCGCAUGAUCUAGUGUGAAAAACUCCGGUGGUGAAAGAUGGACCCCGCGUCUGAUUAGCCAGUUGGCAGGGUAACGGCCUACCAAAGCGACGAUCAGUAGCCGACCUGAGAGGGUGAUCGGCCACAUUGGGACUGAGACACGGCCCAGACUCCUACGGGAGGCAGCAGUGGGGAAUAUUGCACAAUGGGCGCAAGCCUGAUGCAGCAACGCCGCGUGAGGGAAGACGGUUUUCGGAUUGUAAACCUCUGUUCUUAGUGACGAAGAAGUGACGGUAGCUAAGGAGCAAGCCACGGCUAACUACGUGCCAGCCGCCGC
This 495-nucleotide ribosomal RNA is filed under the name uncultured bacterium. RNAcentral's name for it is "bacterial SSU rRNA". It matches the Rfam family "Bacterial small subunit ribosomal RNA", at positions 8 to 518 of the family's 1533-position model. The record is from RNAcentral.